Non-coding RNA from Benincasa hispida (wax gourd), 833 nucleotides. NCBI's taxonomy places the organism in Eukaryota, Viridiplantae, Streptophyta, Magnoliopsida, Cucurbitales, Cucurbitaceae. The record is from RefSeq and is a predicted model, not a curated record.
GAUCUUAUAUGUUAAAUUUAGAGAGUUUGUUGGGUUGACAUAUUAACAUAUUUUUUUAUCAACUAUAACAGUUGAAAAAAAACAUAAUAAAUAUGUCGAUGCGCCUUGAAGAUUUAGUAAUUCUUGAAUCUUGGAGAUAGUGACAUUGACAUUGAAGUUGAUGAAUUAUUUGGAAACGACAGUGAGGUAAAUAUGAUCUUGAGUUGUCGUGAUGGUGAAGACAUCUGGUUCACUAUUAACCCUCGUAUAUGCUUCCAUAUAGUAGAGUGACAUCAUCCAGAUCGUGUGCUGAGACAGUUCGGUACAGCACUACACCAGAUCGAUUUAAGAGGUAAGCACGACCAAGACUGGCGUCAAAUCCAUGCGGAAUAUUUAUCUUACUGGCAUGGACGAUGUGAUCAUUGUGCACAGGGAGAAUUAAGAAUGAGUCACUAUAUCAAACGACUACUUUCCCUGGUACAAUUCGAUCACGAGGCGAUUUAUCUCACCUGACGGCGCUUACUAUUACUGCAUGAAUAAUUUUAUCGGUGAUGUUCAACAAUAUUCAGUGUAGAACAACUUACUAGAAUUGGGUUCAAUGUGUCAGCAAACAUUGAUCAACAUAGAAGGUAUUAUUCAAUAAACAAGUCAACUCAAUGUUGCUGAUACCGAUUGAAGACGUAUUCGUCAUAGACGAUAGCAACAACGGGGUGAACCUAAUUUAGAGGGACACGAAGACAACCCCAUGAGGAGUAAGGGCCAGGGGUCGUUUUUAAAUUCCACAUUGAAUCAUUUUCAAAUUGUAAAUUAAAGAACUAAUUAUAGAUAUUCUUUAAUAUCAUGGUUUUUUUUAA